RNAcentral lists this transfer RNA (72 nucleotides) under Camelus bactrianus (Bactrian camel). It matches the Rfam family "tRNA". From Rfam's summary of the family: Transfer RNA (tRNA) molecules are approximately 80 nucleotides in length. Their secondary structure includes four short double-helical elements and three loops (D, anti-codon, and T loops). The record is from Rfam by way of RNAcentral. RNAcentral also lists the same sequence under 2 other names. Lineage: Eukaryota; Metazoa; Chordata; Mammalia; Artiodactyla; Camelidae.
GAGGGUAUAGCUCAGUGAUAGAGUGCAUGCUUAGCAUGCACCAGGUCCUGGGUUCAAUCCCUAGUACCUCCU